This 616-nucleotide ribosomal RNA is filed under the name uncultured bacterium. Its description in RNAcentral is "bacterial SSU rRNA". It matches the Rfam family "Bacterial small subunit ribosomal RNA", at positions 51 to 706 of the family's 1533-position model. The record is from RNAcentral.
AUGCAUGCAGUCGUACGCACGCGCUUCGGCGCGUGAGUGGCGCACGGCUGAGUAACACGUGGGAACCCGCCCUCCGGUGGGGGAUAACGCGACGAAAGUCGCGCUAAUCCCGCAUACGUCCGCAAGGGGAAAGCGCUUCGGCGCGCCGGAGGAGGGGCCUGCGGCCCAUCAGGUGGUUGGUGGGGUAACGGCCUACCAAGCCGAUGACGGGUAGCUGGUCUGGGAGGAUGACCAGCCAGACUGGGACUGAGACACGGCCCAGACUCCUACGGGAGGCAGCAGCAAGGAAUUUUCGGCAAUGGGCGCAAGCCUGACCGAGCAACGCCGCGUGCGGGAUGACGGCCUUCGGGUUGUAAACCGCUUUUCGGGGGGACGACUACGACGGUACCCCCGGAAGAAGCCCCGGCUAACUCUGUGCCAGCAGCCGCGGUAAGACAGAGGGGGCGAGCGUUGUCCGGAGUUACUGGGCGUAAAGCGCGCGCAGGCGGUGGUCUCAGUGUCGUGUGAAAGCCCCCGGCUCAACCGGGGGAGGUCAUGGCAAACUAGACGACUGGAGCGGCGGAGAGGCCCCUCGAAUUGCCGGUGUAGCGGUGAAAUGCGUAGAGAUCGGCAGGAA